GAUGAACGCUGGCGGCGUGCCUAACACAUGCAAGUCGAGCGAACGGACGAGAAGCUCGUUUUCCUAAUGUUAGCGGCGGACGGGCGAGUAAGACGUGCAUAACCUACCUCUAAGACUGGGAUAAUAUCGGGAAACAGCAGCUGCUAACGGCUGAUAUUACCUACCGCAUGGUUCAAAAGUGAUACACAGCUUUGGCGAUACUUAUAGAUGAAUUCGCGCUGCAUUAGCUAGUUGGUAAGGUAACGGCUUACCAAGGCGACGAUGCAUAGCCGAUCUGAGAGGGUGAUCAGCCACACUGGAACUGAGACACGGUCCAGACUCCUACGGGAGGCAGCAGUAGGGAAUCUUCCGCAAUGGGCGAAAGCCUGACGGAGCAACACCGCGUGAGUGAUGAAGGUCUUCGGAUCGUAAAGCUCUGUUGUUAGGGAAGAACAUAAGUGUAAGUAACUGUGCACAUCUUGACGGUACCUAAACAAAAAGCCACGGCUAACUACGUG
Molecule: ribosomal RNA, 497 nt
Filed under: uncultured bacterium
Lineage: Bacteria
Description: partial 16S ribosomal RNA
Rfam family: Bacterial small subunit ribosomal RNA
Source: RNAcentral